This 609-nucleotide ribosomal RNA is filed under the name uncultured Actinomycetes bacterium. RNAcentral's name for it is "bacterial SSU rRNA". It matches the Rfam family "Bacterial small subunit ribosomal RNA", at positions 251 to 869 of the family's 1533-position model. The record is from RNAcentral. Lineage: Bacteria; Bacillati; Actinomycetota; Actinomycetes.
GGUGGGGUAAUGGCCUACCAAGGCGUCGACGGGUAGCCGGCCUGAGAGGGUGGACGGCCACAUUGGGACUGAGACACGGCCCAGGCUCCUACGGGAGGCAGCAGUGGGGAAUAUUGCACAAUGGGCGCAAGCCUGAUGCAGCGACGCCGCGUGGGGGAUGAAGGCCUUCGGGUUGUAAACUCCUUUCAACCAUGACGAAGCUUUAUGUGACGGUAGUGGUAGAAGAAGCACCGGCUAACUACGUGCCAGCAGCCGCGGUAAUACGUAGGGUGCGAGCGUUGUCCGGAAUUACUGGGCGUAAAGAGCUCGUAGGUGGUUUGUCGCGUCGUCUGUGAAAUUCCGGGGCUUAACUCCGGGCGUGCAGGUGAUACGGGCAUAACUUGAGUGCUGUAGGGGAGACUGGAAUUCCUGGUGUAGCGGUGAAAUGCGCAGAUAUCAGGAGGAACACCGAUGGCGAAGGCAGGUCUCUGGGCAGUAACUGACGCUGAGGAGCGAAAGCAUGGGUAGCGAACAGGAUUAGAUACCCUGGUAGUCCAUGCCGUAAACGGUGGGCGCUAGGUGUGGGGGUCUUCCACGACUUCUGUGCCGUAGCUAACGCAUUAAGCGCCC